RNAcentral lists this long non-coding RNA (557 nucleotides) under Homo sapiens (human). Its description in RNAcentral is "HSALNT0373938". The record is from RNAcentral. Lineage: Eukaryota; Metazoa; Chordata; Mammalia; Primates; Hominidae.
UGACAACUGAAAACCACCUCACAACUUUGUGACAUAAAAGUUGAACCAGAUGAUACCAGUAUGUUCAAAGAGUUCAAGCAGCUUGUCCAAGGUCAUGCAGUGAAGUGGUAAAGUCAAGAUUUUAAUCCAUUUCUACCGGCUUCCUAGACUAAGGAAGGACUAUACAUGGAAAGAGCAAUAAGAAAACUUUCUGCAAGCCAAGAUUGAAGCAUUAUCCAGUGUGGGGUCAACUUUGGGUCAUGAACAAAAUAAUUUUCUCAACUUCAAGGCACAAACAAUGGGCAGUGGUGAAUCUCCCAAGUUAGGUACAACCAUAUACGGACUAUUCUCAGUGUCCUGCUGACCUUCUCAGGGAACACUCAUUCUUCUCAUUGAGCAUUUAUUCUAAAUUACUUAUGGUAUAUUUAGAUUAGGUAGAAUUUUCUUUGCUAGCUUGAGCACAUACAUAUUACCUAAAAGACCAUUUGUAAGGUAAUACAUAUUCACAAUUCAACAUAGAAAAUUUUAAAAUUGUUAUAGUGCAACCUUUUGUAACUCCUGAAAUCUGAGUAUAAAGA